This 253-nucleotide ribosomal RNA is filed under the name uncultured bacterium. RNAcentral's name for it is "partial 16S ribosomal RNA". It matches the Rfam family "Bacterial small subunit ribosomal RNA", at positions 524 to 776 of the family's 1533-position model. The record is from RNAcentral.
UACAGAGGUCCCAAGCGUUGUUCGGAUUCACUGGGCGUAAAGGGUGCGUAGGCGGUCGGAUAAGUCUGACGUGAAAUCCUGGAGCUUAACUCCGGAACUGCGUCGGAAACUAUUUGGCUAGAGGAUUGGAGGGGGGACUGGAAUUCUCGGUGUAGCAGUGAAAUGCGUAGAUAUCGAGAGGAACACCCGUGGCGAAGGCGAGUCCCUGGACAAUUCCUGACGCUGAGGCACGAAAGCUAGGGGAGCAAACAGG